CAGCCGGUGUAAAGGAGCUGCGGCCAGCAGCACCACUCUCACCUGGGACAGAUCACAUCAGGGUGGACGAGACGAUAAUGCUGGAGUUCCAGGAAUACUACUCAUCACUGCAGCAGCAGCAGCAGCAGCAGCAGCAGCAGGAACAUUGGUCAUCCUACCAUCAGGAGGUCUGUUGGAGGUGGCCACCACCACCACUCCGGUCUUAAACAGCGUCUCAAACAGCUGCUUCAGGAUCAUGGCAUCAGCAACGUCGGUCACCUGAAGGAAGAAGACCAGAAAAGAAGGAAAAAGCAGGCUCCUAUCUCUUGUAAUGAGGAGUGAACUGCACAUGAGACCUGGACAGGAAGUAUGUCACCUCUCAGCAAAUGUAAACAGCACAGAACUUUUACACUUUUAUAUUGUUACUGCAGACACACGUGCCUGAUGAGGCAUCACAGACUACAAGAUUUGUCAAAACAACUGAAGCCAACUGAUUGCAUCAAACUCUCGCAAGAACGACCAUGUCUACAAGAACGACAGUUUUGAUAUUCCCGCUGCUUCCUGUCGUCUCCGUCUUCUGACGUUAAAUCCUGUGUCCCACCUCCUUUUUUUCCAUUGGCUGUUGAACACAUGUGUUUGUAGUUGGGUUUGUAGAACACAACACAUACCUCUGUUACCUCAGCAACCAGUUCACCACCUCCGUUUCCAGCUGUGGUAUCGUGGGCCUCUUCAUCCCUCUGAGGUUUACUGUUGUCAUCCUUUGUGUGCGGUUUUGGAGGAGGUGAGCUCAGGUACUUGCUGUUACUGUACAUAUUCAGGAUAUGUUGCAGCUGAGUCAGCCGCUGGAGGACGUAUCGCUGCUGAGCAUCUUCCCUCAGGGAGCCACAGCGGACGAGGCGGUCAUAGUGCUCAAUCACAUCUGCAGCUGAGGACUCAGAGGAGCAGGAUGGUGUGAAUGAACUGCACGUCCUCCAACUGGUGUAACCUUGAAGCAUGUCAACAAAAGACACGUGUGGAUCCACAUAAAUUAAAUCAUACACCAAAAUAAAUGGUACUUUUAUUAUUAUUAGCUAAAAAUGCUACUUUAAUACAGGGGUUAUUGGUGUAGGCAGCAUAGUUAUCAAACCUGUGUUACAACACGUUGUGACAGCGCAAAUUAUACACCAUUGUCCACAAUAUGUCAGAAAGACGCUUACCUUUUCCCCUGUAACUAGAAGACAGCCGACAAAUGUUCGUUGAGGUAAAAACUGUGUCUCUAACAAAUAUAUUCACUGAGCAUCUGACAGCUGCAGUCGCGGAGCAAGCCGCCAUGUUGAUUCAAAACGCGGAAGCUUUAUUGAGUUGCCUUGACACUUACAGUACAGGCUGGGUACAGGAAUGCAUGUGUUUUAAAGGUCCAGCGUGAAUUCGUAGCCUCCGAUUAGGUUGUUAAGGGGAAAGUUACGGGAAACUUGACUUACUCAGCUGCUCCGUUUGUUUUACUUCUUACCACUGUGACCGUGCAUUUUAGGCAUUUGAAAUAAACUUUAAUGUUGUCUGCCCCUGC
Molecule: long non-coding RNA, 1525 nt
Organism: Solea senegalensis (Senegalese sole)
Lineage: Eukaryota; Metazoa; Chordata; Actinopteri; Pleuronectiformes; Soleidae
Exons: 4
Source: RefSeq, a predicted model, not a curated record